GCGGUGGGGCCGCGGACUCCGCUCCCGUCAGCAUCCUCCCGGGCACCCAUCCCGGUCCACUGCCCACCCUUUCCCCGACCUGGACCUCGCCCGCAGCUUGCUCUCGGCCGUUCUGUCCUCGAGGUGCCCCGCUGUGCCCGGCAGACCUGCAGACAGACGCGAGACAGGGGUGGGUAGCCAUCAAGUCUCCGUGAGGAUCUUUAGAUUGUUUCUUCAAACCCAGGCUGUCUAUUGCUGAUAUGGAGCUCAUUUAAGAAAAAGUGCUCUCAAGAGGGAAUAAGGUGGAGUGGUUCUGCCAUGGCAACAAGCCCUUGUUAUAAAGGAAUGUGGUCUGCCACUUUGUACGUGGUUCAGUUCUUGAUAUGUGCACAGUCUGUAAACAUCUUCUACCAUUGUCUUGCUGAUGAAUAAGGAAGGAUUAACAGGAAAAGGAACUGUGGGAUGUGUUUUCCUUUCUCUUCUUUGUCAUCAUUUUCAACAUAACUGGUUGGUGAAUACAGGAAAGUGAUACAUAUAAGAAAAGAUAUGGCUUGGUUUCUUGGUGAUUUGUGAUUUUUAUAAUGUGAUUCUGUGUUUGUAAUAAGUUCUCAAUGGAACCAAAAGGGGGGGGGCUCUCCUGGUUAUCAUUAAUCAUAGACGUAAUUUGCUUUUAUUUGUUCUGAAUCUUGCUGAAAUCCCAUGUAUCGAGGGAGUUUUGUGCUCACGGAGCAUGAGGAAUAUAAGCGGGGCAGUAAGGAUGGCACACACAUAUAUUGUUGUACCUCCUUUCCUAUUAAUUUGCCAAUACCACACUGUCUUCAUUUCUGCAGCCUUCCAUGAAGGCUCAAGUUUAGGUUUAAGUCCUCCAAUAUUGUUCUUUUUCAAGAUUAUUUUGACUUUCAUAGAUCCCAUGCAUUUCCUUUCAAAUUUUAGAAUUAGCUUAUUGCUUUUCACCAAAAAAAGUCAACUGGGAUAUUAAUUGGAAUUACACUGAAUAUACAUGAUCACAUGUUUGAUAGUAUUGAGUCUUUGCUACAUGAACAUGGUAUACUUUAUCAUUUUUUUAGAUCUUCCAAAUUACCCUCAGUAAUUUUGUAAUUUUCAUAUAUUUCAUAAAAUUUAUCCCUAAUUCUUGUGUUUUGAUGUCAUUACAACUCAAUUCACUUAUUUUUAUAACUAAAUUCUAGUAGGGCAUUCUUUUUACAUUCUCAUGCUAUCCCUGCAAAUAAGGGCAUUUUUAUUUCCUUUCCUAUUUACAUACCUAUUUUCCCUUGCCUUGUUGUACUAACUAGGAUUUCCAUUAUAUUGUUGAACAGCAGUGGUGAGAACACACAUCUUUCAGUUUUUCAUUCUUAAGUAUGUCAGCUGUGGUUUUUUCAUAAAUGCCUUAUUUCAGCCUGAGGAUUUUCUUUUCUGUUCAUAAUUUCCUGAGAGAUUUUAUUAUAAAUGGGGGUGAUUUGUCUUUUAUCAAAUGCUUUUUCUAUAUCUGCUGAGAGAUGGUCAUAAUUUUCUCCCUUAUUAUGUUAAUAUAUUGAAUUACAUUGACUUUUGAAUGCUCAACCAACUUUGCUUUCCUGGGAUAAACCUUAUUUGGUCAUGAUGUAUUUAUAAAGUUUUUAUAGAUGACUGGAUUCAAUUUCCAAAAAUUUUAAAAGAACUUUUGCAUUUGGGCCUCCCUGGUGGCGCAAGGGGUUAAGACACAACCUAUGAAGCUAUCCGCAGCCACUGCAGCACAAGUUUGAUCCCAGGCCAGGGAGCUACCCACAUGGCGCAGCAACCUCUCCUGUCUCACCCGCUGCUCCCCUCAGCAGUGUAUUUCAGUCUGCCUGUUCUGUUCCCCACUCUGUCUCUGGUGAAUCCUGUCACCCCCCCCAACCUGUACCCCAGUUCUUGUAUGCAUAAAUAAAUAAAUCUUUUUUAAAAAAAAGAACUUUUGCAUUUAUAUUCAUGAGGUAUAUUGGUCCUCAUUUUCUUACAAUGUUUUUGUUUUAGUAUCAGGAUAAAUCUGGCCUCAUUAUACAUAGAAUAGACUAUUUCAUCUACUUUCUGAAAGAGUUUGUUUAAAAUUGUUAUUUCAUCCUUAAAUGUUUGCCAAAAUUCACUAGUGAAGACAUCUGGGCCUGGAGUUUUCUUGGAAGGUUUUUAAUAACAAAUUGAUUUUAUUUCAUAGACAUAGGCAGUGGCACGCUGGAGCUGCCUUGUACCGGCUAAUGAGAGCUGAUUGUUUUCAUCUCUGAACAAAUCCUUAUUCAGUGAUGUCACAUUGAUAGACUGAAAAUGGCUGUGGUUUAUACCAUGGAAAUUAAAUAGGCUUACGAAUCAGGGGCUUUAUUUUCUUCCGGAAACCUGGUGGCUAAAUGCUGCUUUUUGUGUGCAGGUUUUCUAUUUACUUUUUGAGUGAAUUUGGUAAUUUGUGUCUUACAAGGAAUUUGACAAUUUUAUCUAUGUUACUGAGUUGAUUAGCAUAAAGUUGCUCAUGUAUUUCCAUCUGUCCUUUAAAUGUUUGGAAGAUCUGUAAUGAUGGCCCCUUUUCAUUUAUUUUAAAAAAAGUUUUAUUGAGAUAUUAUUGUUCCCAUACUAUACAAUUUACCCACUAAAAGUGUACAGUUGAGUAGUUUUUUUAAAGAUUUAUUUAUUUAUGCAUACAAGAACUGGGGUGUAAACCAGAGGUGCAGGGGGGAUGAGAGGAUUCACCAGAAAGAGUGGGGAGCAGGACAGGCAGAUCUACUGAAAUACACUGCUGAGGGGAGCAGCAGGCUAGACAGGAGAGGUCUGCUGCCCUUUGUGGGUUGCUCCCUGGCCAGCCAGGGGAUCAAACUUGUGCUGCAGUGGCUGCUGAUAACUUGAUAGUGCUGUCUUUAACCCUUGCACCACCAGGGAGGCUCCCAGUUGAGUAGUUUUUAAAUACAGUUGACCCUUAAACAAUACAGGGGUUGCUGACCUCCCUGCAUAGUCAAAAAUCCAUUUAUAACUUCUGACUACCCCAAUAUUAAGCUAUAGUUUUCUCUUGAUAUCUGCAGGGGUUUGGUUUCAGGAUCCCAAGGAUACCAGAAUCCUUGGAUGCUCAAGUCACAUAUAAUUGACCCUUAUAUCUGCAGAUCCUGUAUCUGCAGAUUCAACCAACUGACAUCCCCAGUUUGUUGAAUCUGUGAAUGAAAAUGCAGGAAUAUAAAAAAAAAAAUUCACUUAGAAAUGGCCCUUGCAGUUCAAACCCCUGUUCUUCAAGGGUCAACUGUAUAUUCAGAAACCUGAAUGACUAUCACCUCAAUCAAUAUUAGAGCACCUUCAACUCAAAAAGAAAGCCCAUGUCCUUUAGUUAUUCAACCCUCAUCCCCAUCCCCAAUAUCCCCAAGCUUGGGCAACUGCUAAUCUUCCUGACUAUGGAUUUGCCUAUUCUAGACUUUUCAUAUAAAUGGAAUCAUGUAACUUGUGGUCUUUUGUGACUGGCUUCUUAGCAAAAUGUUUUCAAGAUCUGUCCAUGUUGUAACAUGUAACAAUAAUUUAUUGUGUUUUAUGACCAAAUAAUAUCUCAUCAUUUGGAUAUGCCAGUUUUUUUUUAAUCCAUUCAUCACUUGAUGGACGUUUGGAUUGUUUUCACUUUUUGCUAUUAUGAAUAAUGAUGCUAUUAACACUCAUGUACAAGCUUUUUUUUUUUCCUUGAGUAUAUAAGUAGGAGUGGAAUUGCUGAUUCAAAUGGUGACUGUUGAAUAUUUAGACUCAUCAGUUUCUUCAAAGAUUUACUCAGGCAUUCUUAGAGGGAUUGCAUGUAAUCUGUAGUUCAGUUUGGGAUUUAUUGCCAUUUUAACAAUAUUAAGUCUUCCAAUCCAUGAACAAUCCUUGUACUUUCAUUAAAUUUGGCCCUGAGCCUCCCCAGUGGCGCAGCUGUUGAGCGCUGGGUUGCGAAGCUGCCCGCAGCCUCUGCAGCGCCAGUUCGAUCCCCGGCCACCAGCGAGGGUCCCGCAUGGUGCGCAGACCUCUCCUGCCGCCCGCUGCUCCCCUCAGCAGUGUACUUCGUCAGUCUGUCUGUUCUGUUCUCCGCUCUGGCUCUGGUGAAUUCUCUCACCCUCCUGUGCUUCUGACUGUACCCAG
Molecule: long non-coding RNA, 4068 nt
Organism: Talpa occidentalis (Iberian mole)
Lineage: Eukaryota; Metazoa; Chordata; Mammalia; Eulipotyphla; Talpidae
Exons: 4
Source: RefSeq, a predicted model, not a curated record